This 253-nucleotide ribosomal RNA is filed under the name uncultured bacterium. RNAcentral's name for it is "partial 16S ribosomal RNA". It matches the Rfam family "Bacterial small subunit ribosomal RNA", at positions 524 to 776 of the family's 1533-position model. The record is from RNAcentral.
UACGAAGGGGGCUAGCGUUGCUCGGAAUCACUGGGCGUAAAGGGUGCGUAGGCGGGUCUUUAAGUCAGGGGUGAAAUCCUGGAGCUCAACUCCAGAACUGCCUUUGAUACUGAAGAUCUUGAGUUCGGGGGAGGUGAGUGGAACUGCGAGUGUAGAGGUGAAAUUCGUAGAUAUUCGCAAGAACACCAGUGGCGAAGGCUGCUCACUGGCCCGAUACUGACGCUGAGGCACGAAAGCGUGGGGAGCAAACAGG